Molecule: long non-coding RNA, 1007 nt
Filed under: Citrus maxima (pomelo)
Lineage: Eukaryota; Viridiplantae; Streptophyta; Magnoliopsida; Sapindales; Rutaceae
Description: long non-coding RNA (CMAX_LNC003004)
Source: RNAcentral
AAUAAAAGUGGGAAGUUAUAUUAAUAACUAAAAAGAAGGUUACGGUCGAGGCUGAACUGCCAAUUGCGACAAACAGAAACAUAACCUCACAAUAUGUAAUUUCAGUCAUCCAGUUUGUUGCCAAGCGCUAAAACAGGGCUGUAAUUUCAGUUACUCUUGUUGAAUUUUGCAACUUCCUUUCUAAUGUAACCCCUGUAAUUGAUUAUGUCUUACCUCAUUAUUAACAUGUUCUCCCAAACAAAAAAACAAAAUCCAUUUUCAUAGACAGCUAAAUAGGUUACAAGCUUUAAUAAGCUUCUAAUUGCAGAGGGUUGACUGAUUUAUGACUCGAUAUUAUAAUUCGAUUUUAAUCACUAAUUUAUUGUAUUAUUGUAUUAAUUGUCGUAUGAAUAAAUUGUGUAACAAUGAUGAUAUUGCUCAAAUUUCCAAUCAUACACUAUGAACCAGACUACUUUUUCAUAUGAACCUAACAAAAAAAUUGACAGGAAAAGCAUGAUUUGAACAAAUGGAUGACCAACUUUCUAAAAAGAAAGAAAAGGAAAAGAAUAAUAAAAACUAAAAGCAAACGGAUGAUCAGGACCACAACGUUUCCAUUUUACUGCAACAUUUCACACACACAUAUAUAAAGUAUAUGCAGAGAUGUUAUUCCUCUGUUCUCAUAUAAUCCAAACAGGGGCAAUUUUCUGCACUUGGCUAAAACCCACCGCGAGCAAUUAGCCCCUUAUUUUUCAUAAAAAUCAAUUGCUACGAAUGUUUGAUUAUAAUGGAAAAACAUGAUUAAAUUGAAAGCAAAUAAAAUAAAACCCUAAUCUAGAAAUUAAACCUAAAUUAAAAAAUUAAACCCAAAUGAAAUAUCAAACAUUAGGUGGUGAAGGACAGGGAAAACAAUUGUACUGCACAGUAGAGAUGGUGUUGCAGCGGAGGUGGUGUCACGCAGUGGGGUGCAGUGGAGGUGGUAUCACGCAGUGGGUGGGUGUCGCACGAUGAGGUUACAGUGGAGUUGGUGU